Molecule: ribosomal RNA, 497 nt
Filed under: uncultured bacterium
Lineage: Bacteria
Description: partial 16S ribosomal RNA
Rfam family: Bacterial small subunit ribosomal RNA
Source: RNAcentral
GAUGAACGCUGGCGGCGUGUCUAAUACAUGCAAGUCGAGCGAACGGACGAGAAGCUUGCUUCUCUGAUGUUAGCGGCGGACGGGUGAGUAACACGUGGAUAACCUACCUAUAAGACUGGGAUAACUUCGGGAAACCGGAGCUAAUACCGGAUAAUAUUUUGAACCGCAUGGUUCAAAAGUGAAAGACGGUCUUGCUGUCACUUAUAGAUGGAUCCGCGCUGCAUUAGCUAGUUGGUAAGGUAACGGCUUACCAAGGCAACGAUGCAUAGCCGACCUGAGAGGGUGAUCGGCCACACUGGGACUGAGACACGGUCCAGACUCCUACGGGAGGCAGCAGUAGGGAAUCUUCCGCAAUGGGCGAAAGCCUGACGGAGCAACGCCGCGUGAGUGAUGAAGGUCUUCGGAUCGUAAAACUCUGUUAUUAGGGAAGAACAUAUGUGUAAGUAACUGUGCACAUCUUGACGGUACCUAAUCAGAAAGCCACGGCUAACUACGUG